This 383-nucleotide ribosomal RNA is filed under the name uncultured Pseudomonas sp. Its description in RNAcentral is "bacterial SSU rRNA". It matches the Rfam family "Bacterial small subunit ribosomal RNA", at positions 993 to 1382 of the family's 1533-position model. The record is from RNAcentral. Lineage: Bacteria; Pseudomonadati; Pseudomonadota; Gammaproteobacteria; Pseudomonadales; Pseudomonadaceae.
GACGUAUCUGAAAGGGAUACUCUUCGGACAUAUACAAGGUGCUGCAUGGUUGUCGUCAGCUCGUGUCGUGAGAUGUUGGGUUAAGUCCCGUAACGAGCGCAACCCUUGUCCUUAGUUACCAGCACGUUAUGGUGGGCACUCUAAGGAGACUGCCGGUGACAAACCGGAGGAAGGUGGGGAUGACGUCAAGUCAUCAUGGCCCUUACGGCCUGGGCUACACACGUGCUACAAUGGUCGGUACAAAGGGUUGCCAAGCCGCGAGGUGGAGCUAAUCCCAUAAAACCGAUCGUAGUCCGGAUCGCAGUCUGCAACUCGACUGCGUGAAGUCGGAAUCGCUAGUAAUCGUGAAUCAGAAUGUCACGGUGAAUACGUUCCCGGGCCUU